GUUGUUUUCAGUAUAAUCUCAUUGUCUUUAAUGAAAAUGCAACAAGGACCAUGAUAUGGUUUGGCUCUGUGUCUCCACCCAAAUCUCAUGUUGAAUUGUAAUCCUUGGUGUUGGGGUAGGGACCUGGUGGGAGGUGGUUGGAUCAUGGUGGGGGGGUUCCCCACUUGCUGUUCUCGUGAUAGUGGAUUAUCAUGAGAUCUGGUUGUUUAAAAGUGUGUAGCACUUCCCUUUGCUCUAUCACUCUCUCCUGCUGCCACGUGAAGAAGAUAUUUGCUUCCCCUUUGCCUUCCACCAUGAUUGUAAGUUUCCUGAGGCCUCCCAUUCAUGCUUCCUGUUAAGCCUGCAGAACCGCUUGGGUCCCAGCUCCAAAAUGUCUCAUUAUCUGUAUUUGAAUAUCCCCAAAUUUGAAAAAUUCAAAAUCUGAAACACUUCUGAUCCCAAGCAUUUCAGACUCCUAAGAGUUAAUACGAAGUAGAAAGAGAAGUUGGAGUUAAGCAGCUCGUUCCAGUUCUGAUUUUGCCAUUUCCUGUCUGAGUGACCUGACUUCCCUCUCUGCCUCCAGCCAUGACUGUAAGUUUCCUGAGGCCCUCACCAGAAGCCGAGCAGAUGUUGGUGCCAUGCUUAUACAGCCUGAAGAACUGUGAGCUGAUUAAAUUUAUUUUCUUUAUAAAUUA
This 674-nucleotide long non-coding RNA is filed under the name Homo sapiens (human). Its description in RNAcentral is "HSALNT0393349". Lineage: Eukaryota; Metazoa; Chordata; Mammalia; Primates; Hominidae. The record is from RNAcentral.